This is a long non-coding RNA of Zingiber officinale, 2478 nucleotides long. RefSeq lists it as uncharacterized. The transcript has 2 exons. NCBI's taxonomy places the organism in Eukaryota, Viridiplantae, Streptophyta, Magnoliopsida, Zingiberales, Zingiberaceae. The record is from RefSeq and is a predicted model, not a curated record.
UCCCAUUGCCCUAUCCCGUAUCCUUCUCCUCCCGAUCGAUGUUGCCACCCUCCUCUGUUCGUACCAUCGCUGCCUCCUCUCUGCGGGCACCGUCGGUGCCGUUCUUUUGGCCCCGUCCCAUGGGCUCCUCCAUCGGAGAGGUCACAGCGAUCAGCCCUAUCACCCUUGUUCCGAUUCGUUUCCGUCGCGAGCACGAACCAUCAUCGUUUCUGCCUAAGUCAUCUUUCGCCCGAUGUAGUCGCCAUCGCGUGCUCAGACACCGGCAAACCGCCUCCGACCAGGCAAGCUGACAACCCUCCAUUUCAUGGACCAGCUAUCCGCCCCUCUUCAUGUGAGGCGACCUCAGCGACGCUUUGGCUGUCGCCAUCACUUUUGCCCUCUUCACCUGUUUCCUACGUCCGACGCUGCCUUUCCUCUACACAGGGCAAACACGGCUAGCCGCAACCGUGGCCAUACACAGCCGAACCUGACCGCGGCCAUAAAUGACCGGAUGCCUCCACUCCGGCCAGAUGUUGCCACAAUUGCUAGCACAUAGCCGCAGUCAUAUGUGGCCAGCGCCACCGCCCCCUCAUGCCUGCCUAGUGCGAGCACCUACUGUUGCGGUCAACCGUCACCACAGCUAUAUCGGUCACUGACGCUGUCCUAGCCACCACCAGCCACUAUCAGUUGGCAUUGUUUGCCAACCGCUGUGAGCAGCCACCAGAAGAAAAUCGGCUAGGGUAACGAAGCAAUUAGACUUGAAUCGAUUAUGAUGGGUGUUCUAUGUUGCAAGAUUCUGAUUUGAAGUAGACUUUUUGACGUGAAGAUAGUCAACAUGUUCUACAUAUCAGGUGGGUAGAUUUUACUUCUCAACUACAUAUCAGGUGGGUAGAUUUUACUUGUCUUUUGAGAAACUUUGAUCAUAGUGCAUGAUUGUUUAAUGUCAUGAUUUACUUAGGUCAUAGUUACUUGUUUACCUUAAAUAUGUUAUAUAUUACCCCUAAAUAUAAUACCUUAUUGUUUGUUCUUAUAUUUUGAUCUAUUAUUGAUAGCUAUGCAGUUUUGGUUGUUAUUCAUAAUUUAGUUUAUAUAUAUGUAUGAUAUUACCAUACCAUAGUCUAGUUGUAAGCUUAUGUUCAUGUAUUUAUAUUAUAUUAUGGUUAUAUACUUAGACUCAUGCCUGUAGAGUAUUGAUAUUACAUGUAGUAUGGUUGUAUACUUGUGAGGGCAUAUAUAGUAGUGAGAUGGUAUCGACCUAUAUUUGAUGGAAAUUACUCCCUAUUAGAGAGGUAGCAUAUUCCAUUAGGCUUUUCCCUUCGGAUCAACCCCUAGGAUUACUUAAUCUUGAUCCCGUUGUUUAUUAUAUGUGUGAUGAUAUUAUGGAAUUAAUUGAGAUAUUAAUGCUAGAUGACUAGUAUCCUCUUGAUAAGAUUGGUUGACUAGUAUUUUGGGGACCUAAUUAUCUAUUUUCUGCAUAUAUAUUAGUAGGUUUAUAUCGUAGUAUAGAAUAUCGAGUAUCCAAGUAGACCUUUACUUGUUAUAUAGGCUCAUGUCUAUACAUUAGUAAGAUAAUAGUGUAGUAUUUCGAGUAUCCUAUUAGACCCUUGGUUAGUAUAUCUUAUCGACCAUUUUCUCCCAUUCGUGGUUGAGAGAGUCAUCAUCGACCGUUAGUAUAUCAUGUCUACCAUUGUCUCCUUUUUUUGGUUGAGAGAGUCAUCGACGAUCAUGAUAUAUAUGACUGCCCACGAGACCAUUCGUGGUAGCGAGUUCUCGUGCAGUUCGUAACUAGACAGCUAUAUAUAUAUCCUGUCUACCUACUAGACCAUUCGUGGUAGCGAGUUCGCCCACAAAUAGUGAUUGUUUAUUUAUCCUGUCUACACAUGAGAUUAUUCAUGGUAGUGAGUUCGCCUGCAGACAGUGACUGUUUGUUUACUUUGACUGCCCAUGGGAUCAUCCGUAGUAGAACGUUCUCCUACAGUUAGUGCUUGUUAUAUACUUGCUAUAUAUCAAUCAUGUAUUUGUUCAUGCAGGUUGGGAUGUACCGUAUGCACUCUCAAUUUAUUGAUCACACCUAAUUGAACAGGUUAGUAGAUGAGUAUGUAGUUAGUUAUGAUUCAUUAGUGGUUGAUCAUAUUGAUUCUCUUACUGUUAUAGUAAGUACUUCACCUGAGGCUACAUUCCUUUAAUCUCCUGACAGUAUAUUAUUCAUGCGCUAUUUUCUUCUAUUCACUAAGUUGUUGUACUCACUAUCCCUUGCUUUUCCUUUGACUUUCAGGUUAAUAAAUAGAGGAGGUGUGAUGUUACUCAGAGGUCCUGACUGUCAGUCUCACUCGAGUUUGGAUUUCUAUUUGAGUUGUUGGUGUACUUUUCGCUGUUUGAAAUUUUGGUUUUCUUUCUAUAUCAAAUAUUUAUGUUGUUGGUUAUGUUCUUUGUUAAUUUAAUACGUUCACAUGUACAUACGUACAUACACACAUUAACAUUUUUAUUUGGUUGAUUUUA